Molecule: ribosomal RNA, 301 nt
Filed under: uncultured bacterium
Lineage: Bacteria
Description: partial 16S ribosomal RNA
Rfam family: Bacterial small subunit ribosomal RNA
Source: RNAcentral
CAGUCGCCACGGGAAUACGUAGGGUGCGAGCGCUAAUCGGAUUUACUGGGCGUAAAGCGUGCGCAGGCGGCCCGUUAAGGCAGGUGUGAAAUCCCUGGGCUCAACCUAGGAAUUGCGCUUGUGACUGGCGGGCUCGAGUACGGUAGAGGGGGGUGGAAUUCCUGGUGUAGCAGUGAAAUGCGUAGAGAUCAGGAGGAACACCGAUGGCGAAGGCAGCCCCCUGGGCCUGUACUGACGCUCAUGCACGAAAGCGUGGGGAGCGAACAGGAUUAGAUACCCCCGUAGUCCCUGUCUCUUAUAC